GACGAACGCUGGCGGCGUGCUUAACACAUGCAAGUCGAACGGAAAGGCCCUGCUUUUGUGUGGUGCUCGAGUGGCGAACGGGUGAGUAACACGUGAGUAACCUGCCCUUUACUUUGGGAUAACUUCAGGAAACUGGGGCUAAUACCUGAUAGGAGCUCCUGCUGCACGGUGGGGGUUGGAAAGUUUCGGCGGUUGGGGAUGGACUCGCGGCUUAUCAGCUUGUUGGUGGGGUAGUGGCUUACCAAGGCUUUGACGGGUGGCCGGCCUGGGAGGUUGACCGGCCACAUUGGGACUGAGAGACGGCCCAGACGCCUACGGGAGGCAGCAGUGGGGAAUAUUGCACAAUGGGCGGAAGCCUGAGGCAGCAACGCCGCGUGCGGGAUGAAGGCCUUCGGGGUGUAAACCGCUUUCGGCUGUGACGAAGCGUGAGUGACGGUAAUGGGUAAAGAAGCACCGGCUAACUACGUG
This 468-nucleotide ribosomal RNA is filed under the name uncultured bacterium. RNAcentral's name for it is "partial 16S ribosomal RNA". It matches the Rfam family "Bacterial small subunit ribosomal RNA", at positions 28 to 507 of the family's 1533-position model. The record is from RNAcentral.